This 506-nucleotide ribosomal RNA is filed under the name uncultured bacterium. Its description in RNAcentral is "partial 16S ribosomal RNA". It matches the Rfam family "Bacterial small subunit ribosomal RNA", at positions 29 to 523 of the family's 1533-position model. The record is from RNAcentral.
AAUGAACGCUGGCGGUAGGCCUAACACAUGCAAGUCGAACGGCAGCACAGGAGAGCUUGCUCUCUGGGUGGCGAGUGGCGGACGGGUGAGGAAUACAUCGGAAUCUACUCUGUCGUGGGGGAUAACGUAGGGAAACUUACGCUAAGACCGCAUACGACCUACGGGUGAAAGCAGGGGACCUUCGGGCAUUGCGCUAUUGAAUGAGCCGAUGUCGGAUUAGCUAGUUGGCGGGGUAAAGGCCCACCAAGGCGACGAUCCGUAGCUGGUCUGAGAGGGUGAUCAGCCACACUGGAACUGAGACACGGUCCAGACUCCUACGGGAGGCAGCAGUGGGGAAUAUUGGACAAUGGGCGCAAGCCUGAUCCAGCCAUACCGCGUGGGUGAAGAAGGCCUUCGGGUUGUAAAGCCCUUUUGUUGGGAAAGAAAUCCAGCUGGCUAAUACCCGGUUGGGAUGACGGUACCCAAAGAAUAAGCACCGGCUAACUUCGUGCCAGCCGCCGCAGUAA